This 23-nucleotide non-coding RNA is filed under the name Cricetulus griseus (Chinese hamster). The record is from RNAcentral. Lineage: Eukaryota; Metazoa; Chordata; Mammalia; Rodentia; Cricetidae.
GCUCGGAAGCAUCUCUGGUGGUG